RNAcentral lists this long non-coding RNA (2840 nucleotides) under Sus scrofa (pig). RNAcentral's name for it is "lncRNA (ENSSSCG00055006365.1)". The record is from RNAcentral. Lineage: Eukaryota; Metazoa; Chordata; Mammalia; Artiodactyla; Suidae.
AGUUUCAGGUCUACAGCAAAGUGAAUCACUUAUACAUACACAUCUUUCCAUUCUUUUUCAGAUUUUUUCCCCAUAUAGGUUCUUAUAGAACAUUGGAUAGAUUUCCUAAUAAUUCUUAAUGUAUAACUGUGGCUGAGAACAAUUCCCUCCUUUUUUUUUGUCUUGGUAGAAGUAGAAUUCCUUGCAGGUACCCUUGACGGGAAAUUGAUUCACGGAUAAGUGUAGAUGGGAGAGACUGAAAGUAUAAAUUCACUAAAUUUUUUAUUCAAAGAAUAGGUGUUCCCAUAGUGGCUCAGCAGAAACGAAUCUUACUAGUAUCCACGAGGAUGCAGGUUCACCCCCUGGCCUCUCUCAGUGGGUAAGGAUCUGGCAUUGCCAUGAGAUGUGGUGUAGGUUGCAGAUGCAGCUGGGAUCCCAUGUUGCUGUGGCUUUGGUGUAGGCAGCUACAGCUCUGAUUUGACCCCUAGCCUGGGAACCUCCGUAUGCUGAGGGUGCAGCUCUAAAAAGACAAAAGACAAAAAAAAAAAAAAAAGAAAGAAAAAAAAAAAAAGAAUACAGUAAAUGCUGCCCCUUGCAAAUUUUAAGCUUUAUAUAGGUAGGAAUAUUUGCUUUAUUCAUUGGUUUUAAGAGGUACAUGAGAUAGUACAUGGCAAUAAAUAGUCAAUAAAUAGUAUGUAAAUGAAAGAAUAAAUUUAACAUUUUUCAUGAAUCUCUAUAUGCCCUCACAUUCCAUUCUUAUUUAACCUCUGAACACCCCUGGAGGUCAGGCAACAUUCAUCCUCUAUAAACUUACAGUCUUGGAAAUUAGACUUGAGAGGCUAUGGAACUUGUUUAAGAUCGAACAUCCAGGAAAUCAUCAGAGCCAGUGUUCAACUCUAUGUCUUCCAAGGACAACUACUAUAAUAAGUGAAAAAGAAUGAGGGACAGACCUGCCUGGGGCGUGAACUGUCUGACUUGAGCUCACCUGAGGUGUCAUAUAGAUCCUCCUGAAGAGGGAGAGUGAGAAGGAGAGCAUCUGUGAAAGCCAACUUGAGGAAUGAGGAUGUGCAUUGACUUCACCUGUUUUCAGUUUUGUCCCAUAGGGGGAUCCAUAGGGAGCAGAACAUUUUUUUGUUUGUUUUCCUGCCUGUCUGUACCACAUCCAUUGGUGGCCAAAAUUAAAAAUCCAUAUUGAAUCUGUGCUUCAACUCCACCCAUCAGAGUGGUGAAGUCCCAGCCCAAAGUCUUGAAAAUAGUUUUGAUUUAAAAGGGGAAGACAGUUUCCUGGAUUAAGUGUGCCUGAGGAAAGCAUGGUGUCAUAUAUAUUAUUUGAAAGGUAUGAGGGCAGCAAUGCAUAUGUUGCUUGAACGACUGAAGUAAAAGGAAACAAAAAUCAAUAUAAACCCCCCUGGUUUCAGCUAUAGUGCUUCCACUUAAGUGACAUCUACACCAGAAAGGAAUUAACACAGCAAGAGACACGUUCUGCUUAUUGAUGUGAAAACAAAUGUCAAAACAAAUGACUUAAGAUCAACUGGACGUACAGAACAAAGCAUUACUCUUUUCUGAGGAACUUUGAAGACUAUAUCAGUGGGUUAACAAAACAGUCCAUUGUAGCUAAUACCUUACUUCCCCAGUCAGAGAUUCGCAGUCUCUCUCUCUCUUUGGGCAGAUUUGAAAACUACUGAGCAAAAAGAUAAAUUUAUUUGCCCAAAUGUGAUUUUGCCCAAAUCACAUGACUAAUGAUUUUCAGAGUAUGGAUUAAACUGGGAAGGUCUGGGCAUCCCUGCUUUGGCCACAGUGGGUUAAGAAUCCAACUGCACAUGUCUAAAUUCUGUUUAUCUAAAUGGACAUGGAAUUCUAUUUUUAAGAGUGUUUAGAACAAAUGUUUGAUUGCCUUUGUCAGUUGUUUUCCUGAGUGAGGUAGUGUUUUUUGGUGAAAUGGCUAAUAAUCCCCUAUAGUCCUUUGAUACAGUAGCAAAUACAUUUGAAUAAAAGAUUAGUUUCCUGUAAGUUAGAACUUUUUAUUUCUUUGAAAAUAAUCAUAUUCUUUAUAUUAAAUUAUUUAGUUACUUUGUUAUUUACUAAGCAUCUACUGCAUUCUAUGCACUGUUAAAUGUUGGGCAUACUAUUUGCCAUUUAGUCCAUGGAUUUAAGGAGCAUAUGAUCUUGAUUUUAAAUUUAGAGUUUAAAUACAGAUUUAAGUGAGAAAUCCAGGCAAAAUACAGUAUUCUUCUCAGUGGAACAUAAUGUUAGAGUAUCAGAAGCUACUGGCUUGGUACAGGGUAUAGCAGAUAAGACCGUGAUCCUAGGGCUGAGAUAAAUUUAAGUUCAAAACCUUAUGCUAAGUGGAUGAACUUGAGGAAACUGCUUAAUUCUCUGAGAAAUUAGAUGUGAAAUAUUUAGCACAGUGACUGGCCUAUAAUGAGGGUGUAACAACAAUGUCUGUUGCAUUUAUUUAUUAAUAAUAAGGGGGUGUAGCUUUCUUCCCUCUUUACUACCAAGCCCCAGUGCAAGCAAUACACUUACAUCUACUUCAUAUACUUCAGUGCAUUCUGAAUGGCAUAGUAUGAAUAAAGAGGAAAGAAAAUAGUGGGAAUGACAGAGCAGGAGAGAAUGCCAAAAUCAGGCAUGGCUUCUGGCCUAUCAUGGAUAAAAUUGGGUAGGAGAGGUCAAAAAUGAUAGUGUUUAGUUUUGUGUAAAGUUAACUAAGAAAGGGUAGGGGAGUUCCCACUGUGGUGCAGUGGGUUAAGGAUCCCGUGUUGUUUCCGCAGAGGCCUGUGUGUUCAGCACCCAGCCCAGCACAGUGAUCCCCUGCCCCAGGAACAUCCAUUUGCUGUGGGUAUGGCCCCUUCUCCCGGGCC